AAAUGAAUAGACGGGGGCCCGCACAAGCAGCGGAGCAUGUGGCUUAAUUCGAAGCAACGCGAAGAACCUUACCAGGGCUUGACAUAUAGGUGAAGCGGCGGAAACGUCGUGGCCGAAAGGAGCCUAUACAGGUGGUGCAUGGCUGUCGUCAGCUCGUGUCGUGAGAUGUUGGGUUAAGUCCCGCAACGAGCGCAACCCUUGUUGCAUGUUGCCAGCGGUUCGGCCGGGCACUCAUGCGAGACCGCCGGCGUCAAGCCGGAGGAAGGUGGGGACGACGUCAAGUCAUCAUGCCCCUUAUGUCCUGGGCUGCACACGUGCUACAAUGGCCGGCACAGCGGGCUGCGAACCUGCGAAGGCAAGCGAAUCCCUUAAAGCCGGCCCCAGUUCGGAUUGGAGGCUGCAACCCGCCUCCAUGAAGUCGGAGUUGCUAGUAAUCGCGGAUCAGCACGCCGCGGUGAAUACGUUCCCGGGCCUUGUACACACCGCCCGU
RNAcentral lists this ribosomal RNA (490 nucleotides) under uncultured bacterium. RNAcentral describes it as "bacterial SSU rRNA". It matches the Rfam family "Bacterial small subunit ribosomal RNA", at positions 903 to 1397 of the family's 1533-position model. The record is from RNAcentral.